Molecule: transfer RNA, 73 nt
Filed under: Malacosteus niger (stoplight loosejaw)
Lineage: Eukaryota; Metazoa; Chordata; Actinopteri; Stomiiformes; Stomiidae
Description: tRNA-Asn
Rfam family: tRNA
About the family: Transfer RNA (tRNA) molecules are approximately 80 nucleotides in length.
Source: RNAcentral
UAGAUGGAUGCUCGUUGGUUAGGGCGCUUAGCUGUUAACUAAGACCUCGGAGGAUCAAAGCCUCCUCAUCUAG